RNAcentral lists this ribosomal RNA (413 nucleotides) under uncultured microorganism. Its description in RNAcentral is "bacterial SSU rRNA". It matches the Rfam family "Archaeal small subunit ribosomal RNA", at positions 459 to 872 of the family's 1478-position model. The record is from RNAcentral.
CAGCAGCCGCGGUAAUACCAGCACCUCGAGUGGUCCGGACGUUUAUUGGGCCUAAAGCAUCCGUAGCCGGCUCUGCAAGUCUUCGGUCAAAUCCACCUGCUCAACAGAUGGGCUGCUGGAGAUACUACAGAGCUAGGGAGUGGGAGAGGCAGACGGUAUUCAGUGGGUAGGGGUAAAAUCCUCUGAUCCAUUGAGGACCACCAGUGGCGAAGGCGGUCUGCCAGAACACGUUCGACGGUGAGGGAUGAAAGCUGGGGGAGCAAACCGGAUUAGAUACCCGGGUAGUCCCAGCUGUAAACGAUGCAAACUCGGUGAUGCAUUGGCUUAUGGCCAAUGCAGUGCCGCAGGGAAGCCGUUAAGUUUGCCGCCUGGGAAGUACGGACGCAAGUCUGAAACUUAAAGGAAUUGGCGGG